Molecule: long non-coding RNA, 158 nt
Organism: Pundamilia nyererei
Lineage: Eukaryota; Metazoa; Chordata; Actinopteri; Cichliformes; Cichlidae
Exons: 3
Source: RefSeq, a predicted model, not a curated record
CUGCAGUUGAGCUCUUGGUGUCUUAGUGUUAUCAUUGAAAGCAUGGACACAAGCUUUGAAGAGAUAUGCAAGGCGGUCCUUGUGUUUGCAGGAGCUGGUGGAGUUGUGAUUCUGACUCCUGCCAUUCUGGCCACACUGGGGUUCACUGCAGCUGGAAU